RNAcentral lists this non-coding RNA (89 nucleotides) under Paenibacillus mucilaginosus. RNAcentral describes it as "c-di-GMP sequence". It matches the Rfam family "c-di-GMP-I riboswitch aptamer". From Rfam's summary of the family: GEMM was predicted in a large-scale screen for bacterial structured RNA regulatory elements. Genes associated with GEMM are involved in a diverse array of functions, including chemotaxis regulation, signal transduction, secretion and chitin. The record is from RNAcentral. Lineage: Bacteria; Bacillati; Bacillota; Bacilli; Caryophanales; Paenibacillaceae. RNAcentral also lists the same sequence under 1 other name.
UCUCGAUAAAGGCAAACCUGGUGAAAACCAGCGACGCAAAGCUACAGGGGCUACAGCGACAAGGUGCGCUAUGCCAGCCAGCUACCGAA